UACGUAGGGCGCAAGCGUUAUCCGGAAUUAUUGGGCGUAAAGAGCUCGUAGGCGGCUUGUCGCGUCGGCUGUGAAAUCCCGUGGCUCAACUGCGGGUCUGCAGCCGAUACGGGCAGGCUAGAGUUCGGUAGGGGAGACUGGAAUUCCUGGUGUAGCGGUGAAAUGCGUAGAUAUCUGGAGGAACACCGGUGGCGAAGGCGGCAUCCUGGACCGGCAUUGACGCUGAGGCGCGAAAGCUAGGGGAGCAAACGGG
RNAcentral lists this ribosomal RNA (253 nucleotides) under uncultured bacterium. RNAcentral describes it as "partial 16S ribosomal RNA". It matches the Rfam family "Bacterial small subunit ribosomal RNA", at positions 524 to 776 of the family's 1533-position model. The record is from RNAcentral.